AAAGUUCAAAGCACUUAUGAAGCAGCUAUUUAUUUCUCUGUAAAUUUAGGGGUCUUUGUUUUGUAGCAUCGUUGGUAGCUACCUGGCAUAGGGAAGAAUCAGGCUAUCUGAUGGCAGUUUUUUUGAUGGGUACAACAGGCCGUGGCUUGCUAAUUCACUGGCCUCCUUGCCAGUAGGCUGUGGAAUGAGCUACGCUCAGAAGUGAGCAUGGUCUCAUUCUGCAGGCUGUAUACUAAAUACAAUUUGUUCUUUCAUUUGGGUUUUGGACAUUCUUCGGAGACCACCUGUAGCAAAAUACACUCUGCUAAUUUUGGGGUUGUUGUGGUGAUAUUUCUUUUUGUAUAAUACCCUUCCACUUUUUAAUGGAAGAAGUUUUGAAACAGUCUGGAUAUUUCAGUGAAUCCAAUGGAAGAUCCCAAAGGAGGGCAAUGGAUUCCUUGGAUCUGAAUAGGCUACCGUCAGCAUUUCCAGGAAGGUGUUAGAACCAGAAAACCAGAUGCUUUCACAAGUGUGGAGGGGAGGAAGGAAGGAGAAGGGGCUUCAAAAUUGUCACAUUUAUGUAUCUUCCUCUGAAUCCACUCAAGACUACUGGUAGGAUCAGAUUAAUGACUUGGCAGUCUGGUUGCACUCUUUCCUUUGCAUUCUUGUAU
RNAcentral lists this long non-coding RNA (650 nucleotides) under Gallus gallus (chicken). Lineage: Eukaryota; Metazoa; Chordata; Aves; Galliformes; Phasianidae. The record is from RNAcentral.